RNAcentral lists this ribosomal RNA (207 nucleotides) under uncultured Defluviitoga sp. Its description in RNAcentral is "partial 16S ribosomal RNA". It matches the Rfam family "Bacterial small subunit ribosomal RNA", at positions 569 to 775 of the family's 1533-position model. The record is from RNAcentral. Lineage: Bacteria; Thermotogati; Thermotogota; Thermotogae; Petrotogales; Petrotogaceae.
GCGUAGGCGGUAAAAGAAGUCAUCUGUGAAAACCUAUUGCUCAACGAUAGGCUAGCGGAUGAAACUGAAUUACUUGAGGGCACCAGAGGUAGACGGAAUUACCCGAGUAGGGGUGAAAUCCGCAGAUACGGGUAGGAACGCCGGUGGAGAAGUCGGUCUACUGGGGUGCACCAGACGCUGAGGCCCGAAAGCUAGGGGAGCAAACCG